CAGUGCUAUCUCCUUCAUCACACUGGGUGUGAUGAAGGAGAUAGCACUGUGC
Molecule: microRNA precursor, 52 nt
Organism: Astatotilapia calliptera (eastern happy)
Lineage: Eukaryota; Metazoa; Chordata; Actinopteri; Cichliformes; Cichlidae
Source: Ensembl